GAUGAACGCUGGCGGCGUGCCUAAUACAUGCAAGUCGAGCGAACAGAUGAGUAGCUUGCUCCUCUGACGUUAGCGGCGGACGUGUGAGUUACACGUGGAUAACCUCCCUAUAAGACUGUGAUACCUUCGGGAAACCGUAGCUAAUACCUGCUAAUUUCUUUAACCACAUGGUUCCCUACUGAACUCCGGUUUUGCUGUCACUUAUAGAUUGAUCCGCUCCUCAUUAGCUAGUUGGUAGGGUAACGGCUUACCAAGGCAACGAUGAGUAGCCGACCUGAGAGGGUGAUCGGCCACACUGGAACUGAGACACGGCCCAGACUCCUACGGGAGGCAGCAGUAGGGAAUCUUGCGCAAUGGGCGAAAGCCUGACGGAGCAACGCCGCGUGAGUGAUGAAGGUCUUCGGAUCGUAAAACUCUGUUAUUAGGGAAGAACAAAUGUGUAAGUAAAUAGGCACGUCUUGACGGUACCUAAUCAGAAAGCCACGGCUAACUACGUG
Molecule: ribosomal RNA, 497 nt
Filed under: uncultured bacterium
Lineage: Bacteria
Description: partial 16S ribosomal RNA
Rfam family: Bacterial small subunit ribosomal RNA
Source: RNAcentral